Molecule: ribosomal RNA, 393 nt
Filed under: uncultured bacterium
Lineage: Bacteria
Description: partial 16S ribosomal RNA
Rfam family: Bacterial small subunit ribosomal RNA
Source: RNAcentral
AUACGGAGGAUCCGAGCGUUAUCCGGAUUUAUUGGGUUUAAAGGGUGCGUAGGCGGUUUGCUAAGCGGGAGGUGAAAUGCCGGCGCUCAACGUCGGAAGUGCCUCCCGAACUGGUGGACUUGAAUGACUCUGCCGUGGGAGGAAUGUGUAGUGUAGCGGUGAAAUGCUUAGAGAUUACACAGAACACCGAUUGCGAAGGCAUCUCACGAAGGGUUGAUUGACGCUGAGGCACGAAAGCGUGGGGAUCAAACAGGAUUAGAUACCCUGGUAGUCCACGCAGUAAACGAUGAUGGCUAACCGCUGGAUCCAUCGAUUCAGUGGCCAAGCGAAAGCGAUAAGCCAUCCACCUGGGGAGUACGACCGCAAGGUUGAAACUCAAAUGAAUUGGCGGGG